This 236-nucleotide ribosomal RNA is filed under the name uncultured bacterium. RNAcentral describes it as "partial 16S ribosomal RNA". It matches the Rfam family "Bacterial small subunit ribosomal RNA", at positions 97 to 334 of the family's 1533-position model. The record is from RNAcentral.
GGCGGACGGGUGAGUAAUACUUAGGAAUCUGCCCAUUAGUGGGGGACAACUCGGGGAAACUCGAGCUAAUACCGCAUACGCCCUACGGGGGAAAGCGGAGGACCUUUCGGGGCUUCGCGCUAAUGGAUGAGCCUAAGUCGGAUUAGCUUGUUGGUGAGGUAAAGGCUCACCAAGGCGACGAUCCGUAGCUGGUCUGAGAGGACGAUCUGCCACACUGGGACUGAGACACGGCCCAG